RNAcentral lists this unclassified non-coding RNA (8665 nucleotides) under Agrilus planipennis (emerald ash borer). Its description in RNAcentral is "small subunit processome component 20 homolog, transcript variant X2". Lineage: Eukaryota; Metazoa; Arthropoda; Insecta; Coleoptera; Buprestidae. The record is from RNAcentral.
UAAUCCUAGCAACCUAUCAUUAGUUGGUUAGAGCCACGUGCGUACGUAAAUAUUAAAAAAUAUACUUAUUAGUGUCUUUAAAUAAUGUGAAGUCUAAAUGUGUUAUUAAAAGCUCUGAAUAUUUUGAAACAGAAAAGCUUGACUUGUAUCAGCAGUAAUAACAUAUUAAUAAAUUUGUCUGCAAAAUGAAAAACAAAUCAUCACGACACAAGGAGAGUAACUUAUUUAAGUUUCAACCAUUUUCUGAAAGAAUAUCAAAUCUAGAUAUCUACGUUUUCCAUAAAGUUGGGCACGAAAAUGAAUUGCAAGUUGACGAACUUCAGUGCCGAUUUUAUGAAACUCUACAGAAAUGGAGUGUUCUUAAUUUGAGUGAAGGCUUUUCCCAGUUUAAGAAAGAUGUAAAUGCACAAUUUUUGAUCACCCUUCCACAGUUAAUCCACAAUAAGGAGAAUGUGAUCGAAGUAUUAUUAAAGUAUUUGGAUAUGAAGAAUCCUAUGUUUCUGCAACCACUUUUAGAAUUAACAUCAGCUUUAGUUGAAGAUUUAAGAAAUGAGUUCUACCCAUAUUUUCUUAGAUUCUUAAAAACUCUGAUUGAUCUUCUAUAUUUAAAAGAUGCAGAAGGGGUAGAAUGGGUAUUUACAUGUUUAGCAUACAUAUUCAAAUUUUUGUGGAAAUUUUUAUCAAGAGAUAUAACUAUUGUGCUAAAUAGUGUUUUACCUCUACUUUCCGAUGACAAACCAGACUAUAUUGUUGACUUUGCAUCUGAGAGUUUCUCAUUUGUAGCACGCAAAGUUGGGGACCUUGAAGCGUUUUUAGAACUAAUUCUAGAAACAGUUCAUUCAAGAAAAGAUGCAAUAAUUGGAUGCAGUAAGCUACUAUUUGAAAUUAUUCAUGGUAGCUCGGGUUAUUUUCAUAGUUGUGCAGAAUUAUGGUUACCAUUUAUGUUUCGCUCGUUAGCUAAUAACAAAUAUUCACAAAUAGUGCUUUUUGAAAUUGUAGAGCAUAUUGUUGCAAAUAUACUGCAACAUAUACUUCCAGAAAAAGCAGAUCUGUUUUGGAAUACAAGCAUUACUGUUUUAAAUGAAUUUUACAACAAUUUAUCUUCUGAUUCUCAGCUAAUAGGUUUUGCCUGCGAAAAUCUUUUAAGGAUUAUUCAUCAAGCAAUUAAAUUUAAGAAUGGAAUUUUUUUGAAAAAUUCACAAAAAAUUGUUAAUCAACUUGUGAAGCUUUUUAAUAUCUCAAAAUCAAAUGAGUCUCUCUUACGAACAGUUGUGCAGUUGUGUUCUACGGUUCUUGUAGCACGAAAUAUAGAUUUAUCUCAAGAACAGACAAGCCAAAUAAUUGCAAAUGUUCAGUCAUUAAAUCUGAGGAGUGCAUAUUUGUGUUUUGUUGAUAGUUUAAUUGAUUAUUCAGGAUUUGAUUUGCUUAUUUUUCCUAACUUUGUAAGAUUUUGUGUUAAUGCAACUGAAUUGGAAACAGAUAGUCUAAAUACAUUGACUAAAAUCAUUUUAAAGAAAUCUCCCUUUUGCAAUAACGGCAUUUUAUUGGAUGCAUGGAAAAGAUAUCCAAUUAGUUUGUCUUGUCAACAAGACAAGUCGUUUUUUUUAAAGAAUAUGUUGCACAAAUUAAAUGACAUGGAAAAUGAGGUAAAUAAUUAUUUAUCUGCUGUAAUUUGUUUACCUCAUAUAAACUUGAAGUCCAGUGAAAUUGAAAAAAAGUUGGUGGAGAACAGCGAAUUACUUUUAGAAUUGCUGCAUUCAAAACAAAAAGAAAUGACCUCAGAAAAUAAAAAGGAGUAUCUAUUUUUAUUAAUGUGUACUGUACAAUGUAUGGUUCAUCUUAAUGUUCAUUAUAUGCUAAACUGUGACAAAAUAGUGGAAACAUUAUUACCAUUUUGUAGUGAUGUACAUUUAAUCGAAAGUUUACAAAUUUUAAGUCUUUACUUAAGUAAACUGAAAGAAGAUAAAAUGUGUUUAAGCUUUCAAAUGUUGUUGAAAAUUAACGAACAUUUAGAGGAUAAUUUUACUUCACCUUUUCAUGAUGUACGACUUUUGAUUACACAUAUUUAUUCAUUGUUUGAAAAUCUUCCCUAUUUCAUUGAAAUCGGCACCGAUUCUAAGGAAGUUUGGAAUUUAUUUAGCAUUUGUUUUCAAAUUGAAUCAACUGAGUUUCAAAUUCAUACAGUUAAUGGUCAGUUGCAACUUAUUGAAAAGCUGUCAUUUCAAAGUACGCAAAUGCAAAUGUGUAAAUUAACACCCUUUAAAUUGGUACCUUUAAAGUACCUUUGUGGGUUGCUGUAUGUGAAUUUUCAACUUUUGUGGAAUCCAGUUUCCAAGAUAAUUUCAACUUAUGCCAUCAAUGCUAUGGAAAUAAGCGAAUUCUGGACAGUUUUUGGAACUCAACUAAAGUUGGUGAAUCAAGAUGUGAACAGCUCGUCAGUAGCGAAAAUCAAGUUUUUGGAUGAAUAUGUCAACAGUACAUUGCUGAAUAUGAACGUACGGGAAGAAAAAAUAGAUUACUGCAAUUAUCGAAUACUGUUAUGGAAAACUAUGGCUAUCUUUCCAGAAAUCGCAGAGGCGAAAACUAGAGAUACUUCAGAAUUACUUUUGUCAUUUAUAAAAAAUGAGUACAAUAAUUUGGCAAUGGAUUUUUCAAAAACAUGGAAUAUUAAGUUACACAAUAUUGGAAAAGAAAAUAAUUCGAAGGAAAAUGUAAUAGAAUGUUCAGAUCAGGACAAAGAGAAGAAGUAUAAACAAAAUAUAAAAAGCAAAGAAAGGACCAUUUCUGCAAUUUUAAAUGUUUUUGCAAAAAUAAGAAGCCCAAUGUCUAUGUUCCGAGAAUCUGAACUCAAGCAGCUGUACUUAGAUUUAUUAUCUUACAAAAAUAGUGAGGUACAAAAGUUAGCAUUAGACUGUUUAAUGACAUACCGACAUGAAUACCUAAUGGCAUACAAGGAGCAAUUGUAUAAUCUCGUAGAUGAUAAAAAUUUUAAAAACGAAAUAUCCCUCUUCAGAAUCAAUAAGGACUCUUCUGUUAUACAGGAAAAACAUCGUCAGUCCCUUAUUCCUAUUAUUUUAAAAAUUGUAUUUACCAAAAUGACUUCUAAAAGUGGCUUAAGAACUGGUGGGAAAGGUUUCGGGCAGAUACGCAGAAAUUUAGUCCUCCGUUUCCUUUCGGGAUGCUACGAAAAUGAAAUUGAGAUGUUUGUACAUAUGUCCUUCAAAUUUUACUCAAAAUAUAUUUAUGGAGAUCAAUUUAGUGUGAUUAUAAACAUUUCUAAUGAGUGUAAUUUGGAAAAGUUUGUUCCGCUUAAACGGCUUCAGAGUAGUGUCAAUUUACUUACUUUAAUAUUAGAAGAACUGGGGGGUUCUUUAAGUGACAAUCUAUUACAAUAUUUAUUGAAAAUAUUAAUGGUUAUUGGAGCAUUUGUGAAAGGCAUUUUUUCUCAGAUCUCAUUAGUGCACGCAGGCUAUAGGGACAUUUUGAAAAAGUUGAGGUCAUCUUUAUUAAGGGUACUCGAAAAAUUUUUUGACCACUUCGAUAAAUAUCCAUGGUCAUCUGAAGAAAUUGAUACUGUUUUUGAGAUUUUUGUAUGGCCAUAUUUAGAACAAUUGGAAAUCGAGGGCAUUCACAGUCCCAGUGCGUUACUUCGUUUAUUUUUACAAUGGGGAUCAAGGCCAAGAUAUUUUGAGUUAUUAAUUAAAUAUUACGCAGAUGAUAAUGACUUCACUGCAAUGGCUUUUAUAAUAAGAUUGCUGCUCAAAAAAUCGACGCAUGCUUCUGUAAGCAAAGUGAUUAUGGAAAUGAUAAAUUAUUUGUUGACAUUUAAAGAUAAUGAAUAUGAGCAGGAUACCUUACGAAUAUUGGUUAAUAGUACGUUGAGCUUGAAAAAUAAUCCAGUACAUCAAAAUUUAGAAAAAAAGAAUCUAAGCCUUGGAAGUUACAUUGUGUUACCUCAUGUGCCAUCUAUUUUGAUUAUGAUAAAGAAUAAAUUGCACAGCAGAAAAGGCUUGACCACAACCGAAUUGUCUGUUUUGUGCAGUAUUUCUGAAUUUGUGUGGGACUGUGAAUCGAGUAAGGCUGUUUUGGACCUUAUGAUACCGCUUUUCUCAAAAAUGUUUGAUUUACCUGAUGAUAAUCUUUUAAAAUUCAUAAUGAUUAUUGAUAACUUAACUCAAAAGAUUGAUCAGCCUCAGAAAUACUUAACAAAACUUUUGCCCUACUUUGGUGAAGUUUCCUACAAGCCUGCUAGGAAGCAACUCUGCGAAAUUUUUAACAAGGCUAAAACAAAAUCCGAUACUGCAGCAUUUAACACUUUAGCGAGAAUUAUAAACGAACUCAAUGCGUGGGACGACAAAUGGAUUGAUCAACCAAAUUUUGAGAAAAGAAUAGAAUGCUUUAAAGAAAUUAAUUUGUUAAUGGAAUCUAAAAAUGUAGAAAUAGAAUUAGGAUUAGCAAUAUUUUACAAUUGUUGUUACAUGUUAAAAUAUGAAAGUGAUAUUUCUCUAAAGGAGAAAUCCAGUCAUUACUGGAAAAUAAUAUCCAAUGAGCUAUUGAAAAACUUUUAUGAUAAAACAUUUUAUUUAUUAGAUGAACAUUUAUUUGUUAUUAUCUGCGAGGGGAUUAAAAGUAAAAAUGAAGAAUUUAGGAACGAAUGUAUUCAACUUUUAGGGUACAUUGCUAGACAUUGUCCUGAUUCCCACAUUGUUUUAAAACAAUUGAAUAAACUUACUAGUGAAACUGAUUUGGAAGUAGAUUUCUUUGAAAAUCUCACGCAUCUCCAAAUUCACAGACAUGUUCGAGCUUUACUGAAAUUUGUAGAUGUAUUUACUAAUAACGUUGAUAGUCAAUGCAAUCGAACAUUAAUUCAAUUUAUUUUUCCACUCGUGUCGUGGUAUUUGUGUAAUGAAAAAUACGUCUCAAAAAACAGUCUCAUUGAUGCUUCUAUAGAAGCUGUAAAAACUAUUUGUAAACUUUUACCGUGGAACCAGUAUGGAAAUUUGUUAAGAAUGUAUAUGAACAAACUAAGAUAUAAAACCAUUUUUAAAAAGCAGUUAGUCCGUGUAAUUGUGGCCAUAUUAGAUGCAUUUAAUUUUGAUCUACGUAGUGGUUGUGCAAAAAGCAUUGAAGAGAUUGCUAGCUAUCAAGAAUUUGAGAAAAAGGAGAACAUACAAGUUUCAGAGACGAAAAAAGAAGAAGCGAUGGUAACUGAAGACGAAAAAUCUUUAGAUCAGCAAAUGGAAGUGGAAGUGAUGUCUGACUACCCUGAAAUGGAAAUAGAUGAAUGUGUGCAUUCAAUUCAUACUGAUGCUUCUGAAAAAGUAUUCCUAUUAUCAUCUGCAACUGCAUCUAAAGUGAUACAUACUAUUCAGAAAAUAUUUUUGCCACAACUGUUUAGGCUUCUGGCAGAAUAUUCACACUACGAUUCGUUUCACAAACUUAAUAAAAAGAAGACUCUUAACGAAAAGGAAGAAGACGAUUUACAAAAAAUUCCCAUUUCAUUAGCUUUGGUUAAAUUGUUACAAAAGUUGCCAAAAGAAAUACUGGAUAAAAAUUUACCAAUGAUUUUUAUGAAACUAGCAACUUUUUUAAAAUCACACUUAGGAAGUGUUCGUCGAAUUGCCAGGGAAACAUUUGAGCAAAUUAUGUGCGUGGUGGGACCAAAGUACUUAAACACAUUUUUAGAUGCAAUACAACCCCUACUACUAAGAGGAUUUCAAGUGCAUGUUCUUGUUUAUACUGUACAUGGAGUGUUGGCUUCUCUGAAAGAAAUGUAUGAACCUGGUGAUAUGGAUAAAAUAAUUAUUACUGUAUUAAACAUUUGCAAAGCUGAUUUAUUUGGAACUCUGGCUGAAGAAAAGGAAGUAGAGAAAAUACGAGUAAAGAUUCCUGAAGCUAAAACCACCAGAAGUUACGAAACACUCCAAAUUUUGGCUUUAUUUGUUACCGAAAAAUAUUUAAUGGACAUAAUCGUACCGUUAAGAUCAGUAUUGUUGAAUUUGCGAUCGUUUAAAAAUAAUAAAAAAAUGCAGGAAUGCUUUCGAUAUAUUGCACUGGGAUUGGUAGCAAAUAAAUUCAUCACGUAUGAGUAUCUAAUGAAAAUUUCAUAUGGAAUAAUAUCGCAAAAUAUACCAGAACUUUUUUCAACACAAGCAAAUAAAAAGAAAAUUGGCGAAAAAUACAAACAAAAUGCACUUUUGACGGAGAGAAGUGAUUGUCUUAUUAUUCCACCUGUGGUAAUGGACAAAUAUGAAGCAAAAGGAAUGGUAGCGAGAGUUUCUGAUAACAUGAAUAACUAUGUUCUGGUAACAUUUGGACUUAACAUUUGCCUUAAUUUAAUAAAAAUGGACCAUCCAAAUAACACUUGUUAUAAAAGUUUUAUGGACCCAUUUAUCAAACUAUUUCGAGAUUGUUUGAGUUCUCAUCAUGUGAAGUUAAAUAUAUUGGCAUUAAAAUGUCUAAUUGGAAUUGCUAAGUGGGAUCUACCGUCGUUCAGAGAAUACAUGCAAGAAAUAAAUGAAAACAUUUUUAAAAUUCUUCACAAGUAUGCAGUAACAGGACUGAAUAAAGGAGAUAAUUUCGAUUUGGUGCUAAUUUCUUUUAAGUUUAUGGCAGUAUUGCUUAGAGAUGUGAAAUACUAUAUAAUCGACAAAGAACAUCUUAAAAUGCUUCUUUUUUACGUGGAGCAAGACUUACACGAAAACGAUAGACAAAUCAAUGCCUUGAUGUUACUGAAAGCUGUUACAUCUAGAAAGUUUGAUUUGCCCGAAAUUUAUACCGUAAUGAAUAAAGUGGCAAAAAUCAGUAUAACUUCAACGAGCUCUCAAGUGCAAAAUUAUGCCUCUCAAGUUUUUUUGCACUUUUUUAUAAAUUAUCCCUUUGGCAAAAAGAUGGAUUCGUAUAUUGGUUUCUAUCUUUCUCAAAUAAAUUAUGAAUAUCAGUCGGGGCGCCAGUCAGCCUUAUCGAUGAUUCAGAAUUUAAUUAAUUCAUUUCCCAUGAGUCUCUUAAAAGCUCAAAGUGGGUCAAUUAUGGUUACUUUGAGUACACAACUAAUAAACGACGAUGUUCCCGAAUGUAGAAAAAACAUUGUAAAUUGUUUAACGAAUAUGUUCAAAAGAUUAGCUAAACCUGAACGAGAUCCGUUAUUCGAUAUCGUUAAAUUAUGGUUACUGGACGAAAAGAUUAAUCAUAGACGAUUAGCUAUACAGCUUUGUGGUAUUUUCAUAGAUGUAGAAAAAUCUAAUUUUGAAUCACGGAUACCUCCCCUAAUGCCCAUUUUAUUAUCUCAAUUCAAUGAAAAAGAGAAAAGUUUUACGGUGUCAUUAAGCAAGGCAGAGUCAUUAAAUGUAGGAUUGGACCAAUGGACAAAAGAUCACUACUUGUUUCAGUUAUUACAAACUUUAUUGAAAUUAUAUUUUCAUUGUUCGGCAACUUUUAAACAAAUGAAAGAAAUGGAAAUUUUUGCAUCAUACGCACAGUCACUACUUAAUUACCCUCAUGAAUGGGUUCGACUCUCAUCCGCACAAUUUUUGGGUUUUGUACUCUCAGAUAUUAAUAUAGAAGAAUUAGCUGAUUGUAUAAAACAUAACAAGUCUAACAAAAGUGGGGGAUAUCUUUACAGUGAUCCUAGAAUCAAUAUUAAAUCCCUUACAUUCGAUUUGUGUGCAAUACUUCAAACUGAUGCUAAACAUCAAGAACUGUCUGAACAGGUUAUAAAGAAUUUAGUUUUUAUAGCACGAAUUUGCGAAAAAGUUCAAUUUAAAGAAGAAGAAGAGCAACUUCCGGACUUAUUUUGGUUGUUAAAAAGGAUGAGAAAGAUUAGCAAUUGGGAAUUAGUACAUUCACCAAAAGAAACAUUUAUCAGAAAAUCGGUCUUUAAAUGGAUAGCAGGAAUAAGCACAGUCUUAGAAAAUAAUCAAGUCAGAUUGGUACUACCGAUACUUUUACCUCCACUGAUAAGAGAAAUGACAGUCGCUGAUACUGAUAACACGUUGCAACAAUUGUCAAAGGAAGUAGCUAAUAUUUUAAAGCAAAGAGUUGGUGAAGAUUUUUACUCUGCAGAAGUAUCGAAAGCAAAACAAAAAUUAUUAUUAAAACAAGCCGAAAGGAGAAGGGUUAAUAAACAAAUGGCAGUUGCAGACUCUGAGUUACAUGCAAAGAAAAAAAUUAAAAGGAAUUUAAAAAAGAAGGAGAGUAAAAAGAAAACUCUUGCUAUUAUUAAAAAUAAAAUACACAGAAAAGUAAAAAAAUAGUACUUUAGAUAUAAAAAGGGAAGGCUCAGGCGGCAAUUCACACAUGGUCUGUAAUAGUCCACUUUCUUCCCGAGAUUUGGUUGUCUUAAAACGUAUGGUUUACAAUCGUGCUCAUGCUCAUAAAAUUCAAAUUUCUUUCCGUACGGAUGGAAAACACGCGUACUUCCGUUCAUGUAUAGAGGAUAGGGAAGUCGAACUUUCUGCGGAAGUGUAACAAAAAGGAAGUCAUCUGUUGAAAUGCUUCUAAUGAGUUUCAUUGAAACAUUAAUUACACUUAUCUAGGAAACUUUAUUUAACCAAAAGUUAUAUUUUUACAACAAACUAAAAAAUUAAAUCUUAUUUCUCCUACCUUUGUCCGCUCCCUGAACCACUCCUUCAUCCGUUCCUGCUUGAUUUUUAAAAUCUUCAACGCU